UCCUGAUAGCUCAAAUGGCAAAGAUUCUGCCUUCAAUGCAGAAGACCUGGGUUCAAUCCCUAGGUCAGGAA
This 71-nucleotide transfer RNA is filed under the name Bos taurus (domestic cattle). It matches the Rfam family "tRNA". From Rfam's summary of the family: Transfer RNA (tRNA) molecules are approximately 80 nucleotides in length. Their secondary structure includes four short double-helical elements and three loops (D, anti-codon, and T loops). Lineage: Eukaryota; Metazoa; Chordata; Mammalia; Artiodactyla; Bovidae. RNAcentral also lists the same sequence under 2 other names. The record is from Rfam by way of RNAcentral.